This 399-nucleotide unclassified non-coding RNA is filed under the name soil metagenome. RNAcentral's name for it is "partial contains 5.8S ribosomal RNA, internal transcribed spacer 2, and large subunit ribosomal RNA". The stretch from base 1 to 122 matches the Rfam family "5.8S ribosomal RNA", at positions 35 to 154 of the family's 154-position model. The record is from RNAcentral.
GAUGAAGAACGCAGCGAAAUGCGAUACUUGGUGUGAAUUGGAGAAUCCCGUGAACCAUCGAGUCUUUGAACGCAAGUUGCGCCUCAAGCCAUUAGGUUGAGGGCACGUCUGCCUGGGCGUCACAUAUCGUUGCCUGAUGCCAGUUUCCUCGUGAUGGGUGACUGUGCAGGGCGAAUGAUGGCUUCCCGUGAGCAUUGUUGCCUCAUGGUUGGUUGAAAAUUGAGUCCUUGGUAGGGAGCGCCGUGAUAGAUGGUGGUUGAGUGACGAACGAGACCCAAUCAUGUGAGACCCCUACCGAAUUUGGCCUUCAUGACCCACAUGCGUCUUUGGAACGCUCAUGACGAGACCUCAGGUCAGGCGGGGCUACCCGCUGAGUUUAAGCAUAUCAUAAGCGGAGGA